RNAcentral lists this ribosomal RNA (445 nucleotides) under uncultured bacterium. RNAcentral's name for it is "bacterial SSU rRNA". It matches the Rfam family "Bacterial small subunit ribosomal RNA", at positions 217 to 662 of the family's 1533-position model. The record is from RNAcentral.
GGUAUGGGAUGAGCUUGCGUCCGAUUAGCUAGUUGGCGGGGCAACGGCCCACCAAGGCGACGAUCGGUAGCCGGCCUGAGAGGGUGAUCGGCCACAUUGGGACUGAGAUACGGCCCAGACUCCUACGGGAGGCAGCAGUAGGGAAUAUUGCACAAUGGGGGAAACCCUGAUGCAGCAACGCCACGUGUGGGAAGAAGCAUUUCGGUGUGUAAACCACUGUCGUGAGGGAAUAAGGCUAUUUUUCGGAGUAGUUGAAUGUACCUCGAGAGGAAGCACCGACAAACUUCGUGCCAGCAGCCGCGGUAAUACGAGGGGUGCAAGCGUUGUUCGGAAUCACUGGGCGUAAAGGGAGCGCAGGCGGAAGCUCAAGCGGAUUGUACAAUACCGGGGCCCAACCCCGGACCUGCAGUCCGAACUGGGUUUCUUGGAUAGUUCAGGGGCAGGC